Molecule: non-coding RNA, 74 nt
Organism: Ameiurus melas (black bullhead)
Lineage: Eukaryota; Metazoa; Chordata; Actinopteri; Siluriformes; Ictaluridae
Source: the annotation of a GenBank genome assembly
GGCAGUGGAGGCUUGACGGUUAAGGCUCUGGUUUCCUGAUCGGAAGGUCGGGGGUUCAAGCCCCAGCACUGCCA